GAGACAGUUGUGGAUUACGCUCCGUGUCA
This 29-nucleotide small RNA is filed under the name Bombyx mori (domestic silkworm). Its description in RNAcentral is "ovarian small RNA-5117". The record is from RNAcentral. Lineage: Eukaryota; Metazoa; Arthropoda; Insecta; Lepidoptera; Bombycidae.